Molecule: ribosomal RNA, 504 nt
Filed under: uncultured bacterium
Lineage: Bacteria
Description: partial 16S ribosomal RNA
Rfam family: Bacterial small subunit ribosomal RNA
Source: RNAcentral
AUUGAACGCUGGCGGCAUGCCUUACACAUGCAAGUCGAACGGCAGCAUAGAGAGCUUGCUCUCUGAUGGCGAGUGGCGAACGGGUGAGUAAAGCAUCGGAACGUACCGUGUAGUGGGGGAUAACGUAGCGAAAGUUACGCUAAUACCGCAUACGCACUGAGGUGGAAAGAAGGGGAUCGCAAGACCUUGCGCUAUACGAGCGGCCGAUGUCAGAUUAGCUAGUUGGUAGGGUAAAGGCCUACCAAGGCGACGAUCUGUAGCGGGUCUGAGAGGAUGAUCCGCCAAACUGGGACUGAGACACGGCCCAGACUCCUACGGGAGGCAGCAGUGGGGAAUUUUGGACAAUGGGGGCAACCCUGAUCCAGCCAUGCCGCGUGAGUGAAGAAGGCCUUCGGGUUGUAAAGCUCUUUCGGCCGGGAAGAAAUCGCACAGGCUAAUACUCUGUGUGGAUGACGGUACCGGCAUAAGAAGCACCGGCUAACUACGUGCCAGCCGCCGCCGUAA